AGGAAAAACAGGUGGUGGAGCGGGGCUGCUAACUUUGCUUUGGGUAGUUCGAGUCUAUUCUUUUCCUU
RNAcentral lists this transfer RNA (68 nucleotides) under Titiscania limacina. RNAcentral's name for it is "tRNA-Ser". The record is from RNAcentral. Lineage: Eukaryota; Metazoa; Mollusca; Gastropoda; Cycloneritida; Neritopsidae.